Molecule: ribosomal RNA, 468 nt
Filed under: uncultured bacterium
Lineage: Bacteria
Description: partial 16S ribosomal RNA
Rfam family: Bacterial small subunit ribosomal RNA
Source: RNAcentral
GACGAACGCUGGCGGCGUGCUUAACACAUGCAAGUCGAACGGAAAGGCCCUGCUUUUGUGGGGUGCUCGAGUGGCGAACGGGUGAGUAACACGUGAGUAACCUGCCCUUGACUUUGGGAUAACUUCAGGAAACUGGGGCUAAUACCGGAUAGGAGCUCCUGCUGCAUGGGGGGGGUUGGAAAGUUUCGGCGGUUGGGGAUGGACUCGCGGCUUAUCCGCUUGUUGGUGGGGUAGUGGCUUACCAAGGCUUUGACGGGUAGCCGGCCUGAGAGGGUGACCGGCCACAUUGGGACUGAGGUACGGCCCAGACUCCUACGGGAGGCAGCAGUGGGGAAUAUUGCACAGUGGGCGGAAGCCUGAUGCAGCAACGCCGCGUGCGGGAUGACGGCCUUCGGGUUGUAAACCGCUUUCGCCUGUGACGAAGCGUGAGUGACGGUAAUGGGUAAAGAAGCACCGGCUAACUACGUG